Molecule: transfer RNA, 72 nt
Filed under: Mantella madagascariensis (Madagascar golden frog)
Lineage: Eukaryota; Metazoa; Chordata; Amphibia; Anura; Mantellidae
Description: tRNA-Gln
Rfam family: tRNA
About the family: Transfer RNA (tRNA) molecules are approximately 80 nucleotides in length. Their secondary structure includes four short double-helical elements and three loops (D, anti-codon, and T loops).
Source: RNAcentral
UAAGAAGAAGUAUAGUAGGAAGUACAGAGAAUUUUGAUUUCUCAGGUAUAGGUUCAAGUCCUAUCUUUUUAG